RNAcentral lists this ribosomal RNA (450 nucleotides) under uncultured bacterium. RNAcentral's name for it is "bacterial SSU rRNA". It matches the Rfam family "Bacterial small subunit ribosomal RNA", at positions 27 to 485 of the family's 1533-position model. The record is from RNAcentral.
GAACGAACGCUGGCGGCGUGCCUAACACAUGUCAAGUCGAACGAGGUCCAUGCAGUGGCAACACUGCGGAAGACCUAGUGGCGAACGGGUGAGUAACACGUGAGGAACUUGCCCCGGAGACCGGGAUAAGCCCCCGAAAGGGGGUCUAAUACCGGAUGUCCUCACCGAGUCGCAUGGCUUGGUGAGGAAAUGGAUUCCGCUCCGGGAGAGCCUCGCGGCCUAUCAGCUAGUUGGUGGGGUAACGGCCCACCAAGGCGUCGACGGGUAGCUGGUCUGAGAGGACGAUCAGCCACACUGGGACUGAGACACGGCCCAGACUCCUACGGGAGGCAGCAGUGGGGAAUCUUGCGCAAUGGGCGAAAGCCUGACGCAGCAACGCCGCGUGCGGGAUGACGGCCCUCGGGUUGUAAACCGCUUUCAGUGGGGACGAACCAAGACGGUACCCACAGA